UUUGAUGGCGACCGGCGCACGGGUGAGUAACACGUAUCCAACCUGCCGAUGACUCGGGGAUAGCCUUUCGAAAGAAAGAUUAAUACCCGAUGGCAUAGUUCUUCCGCAUGGUAGAACUAUUAAAGAAUUUCGGUUAUCGAUGGGGAUGCGUUCCAUUAGUUUGUUGGCGGGGUAACGGCCCACCAAGACUACGAUGGAUAGGGGUUCUGAGAGGAAGGUCCCCCACAUUGGAACUGAGACACGGUCCAA
Molecule: ribosomal RNA, 249 nt
Filed under: uncultured bacterium
Lineage: Bacteria
Description: partial 16S ribosomal RNA
Rfam family: Bacterial small subunit ribosomal RNA
Source: RNAcentral